This 468-nucleotide ribosomal RNA is filed under the name uncultured bacterium. RNAcentral's name for it is "partial 16S ribosomal RNA". It matches the Rfam family "Bacterial small subunit ribosomal RNA", at positions 28 to 507 of the family's 1533-position model. The record is from RNAcentral.
GACGAACGCUGGCGGCGUGCUUAACACAUGCAAGUCGAACGGAAAGGCCCUGCUUUUGUGGGGUGCUCGAGUGGCGAACGGGUGAGUAACAAGUGAGUAACCUGCCCUUGACUUUGGGAUAACUUCAGGAAACUGGGGCUAAUACCGGAUAGGAGCUCCUGCUGCAUGGUGGGGGGUGGAAAGUUUCGGCGGUUGGGGAUGUACUCGCGGCUUAUCAGCUUGUUGGUGGGGUAGUGGCUUACCAAGGCUGUGACGGGUAGCCGGUCUGAGAGGGUGACCGGCCACAGUGGGACUGAGAUACGGCCCAGACUGCUACGGGAGGCAGCAGUGGGGAAUAUUGCACAAUGGGCGGAAGCCUGAUGCAGCAACGCCGCGUGCGGGAUGACGGCCUUCGGGUUGUAAACCGCUUUCGCCUGUGACGAAGCGUGAGUGACGGUAAUGGGUAAAGAAGCACCGGCUAACUACGUG